Molecule: ribosomal RNA, 439 nt
Filed under: uncultured bacterium
Lineage: Bacteria
Description: partial 16S ribosomal RNA
Rfam family: Bacterial small subunit ribosomal RNA
Source: RNAcentral
CUACGGGUUGCUCCAGUGGGGAAUAUUGCACAAUGGAGGAAACUCUGAUGCAGCAACACCGCGUGGAGGAUGACACUUUUCGGAGCGUAAACUCCUUUUAUAUAGGAAGAAGAUGACGGUACUAUAUGAAUAAGCGCCGGCUAACUCCGUGCCAGCAGCCGCGGUAAUACGGAGGGCGCAAGCGUUACUCGGAAUCACUGGGCGUAAAGAGCGUGUAGGCGGAUUAAAAAGUCAGAAGUGAAAUCCUAUAGCUUAACUAUAGAACUGCUUCUGAAACUCUUAAUCUAGAAUAUGGGAGAGGUAGAUGGAAUUUCUGGUGUAGGGGUAAAAUCCGUAGAGAUCAGAAGGAAUACCGAUUGCGAAGGCGAUCUACUAGAACAUUAUUGACGCUGAGACGCGAAAGCGUGGGGAGCAAACAGGAUUAGAUACCCUGGUAGUC